GGGCGAAACCAGCGCAUGCGCAGUUUCUGGUUGGCAAGUUACUUUAUAAAAUGUCGCCUGACAGUACAUGGAGACUUUGGGCUUACAACUUAACAAGUCGCUAUAGAGAAUCGUACAGUAAUUUCGUGAAGAAUUUCAGAUUCAGUAUGUAGUCAGCUAUGACAGUUGUGAGUGCUUGGGUUGUGAUUAAAACAACUGGAUAUGUGGUUCUGCGCAACUGUGUGUAUGCAUGGCAGCCUUGGAGAAGCGUGUAGUCUAUAUUGCGGCAAUACUGUUCAAGUUGGAGGCAGCAAAUCGGCUGGAGUAUACGACCCAGGCCUGCACUGAGAAAGCAUCCAUAUGGAACCAAGAUUUUCUCAAAGGAACAGGGCUCGAACCAUGUACUGUCAAAGAUCUUCAUUUUGUUAGGAUUCGAGUACUUU
Asterias rubens (European starfish) is the source of this 422-nucleotide long non-coding RNA. RefSeq lists it as uncharacterized. Lineage: Eukaryota; Metazoa; Echinodermata; Asteroidea; Forcipulatida; Asteriidae. The record is from RefSeq and is a predicted model, not a curated record. The transcript has 2 exons.